GGGGUUGUGGCUCAAUGGUAGAGCACUUGCCUAGCAUGGGUGAGCCAUUGAGUUUGAUCAUCAGCAUCACAUAAAGAUAAAUAAAUAAAGGUAUUGUGUCUACAACUAAAAAAUAUUUUAAACAACAACAACAACAAAAAAAAACCCAAAGACUUGGGCUGGGUUUGUGGCUCAGUGAUAGAAAGCUUGCCUAGCAUGUGUGAAGCACUGAGUUCAACCCCCAGCACCACA
This 231-nucleotide transfer RNA is filed under the name Marmota monax (woodchuck). RNAcentral's name for it is "tRNA.Ala". Lineage: Eukaryota; Metazoa; Chordata; Mammalia; Rodentia; Sciuridae. The record is from RNAcentral.